This 1340-nucleotide ribosomal RNA is filed under the name Microbacterium sp. RNAcentral describes it as "bacterial SSU rRNA". It matches the Rfam family "Bacterial small subunit ribosomal RNA", at positions 66 to 1415 of the family's 1533-position model. The record is from RNAcentral. Lineage: Bacteria; Bacillati; Actinomycetota; Actinomycetes; Micrococcales; Microbacteriaceae.
UGCUUCUCGAGCUUGCUGGGUGGAUCACGAAGGCGAACGGGUGAGUAACACGUGAGCAACCUGCCCCUGACUCUGGGAUAAGCGCUGGAAACGGCGUCUAAUACUGGAUAUGUGAUGCGACCGCAUGGUCUGUGUCUGGAAAGAAUUUCGGUUGGGGAUGGGCUCGCGGCCUAUCAGCUUGUUGGUGAGGUAAUGGCUCACCAAGGCGUCGACGGGUAGCCGGCCUGAGAGGGUGACCGGCCACACUGGGACUGAGACACGGCCCAGACUCCUACGGGAGGCAGCAGUGGGGAAUAUUGCACAAUGGGCGCAAGCCUGAUGCAGCAACGCCGCGUGAGGGAUGACGGCCUUCGGGUUGUAAACCUCUUUUAGCAGGGAAGAAGCGAAAGUGACGGUACCUGCAGAAAAAGCGCCGGCUAACUACGUGCCAGCAGCCGCGGUAAUACGUAGGGCGCAAGCGUUAUCCGGAAUUAUUGGGCGUAAAGAGCUCGUAGGCGGUUUGUCGCGUCUGCUGUGAAAUCCGGAGGCUCAACCUCCGGCCUGCAGUGGGUACGGGCAGACUAGAGUGCGGUAGGGGAGAUUGGAAUUCCUGGUGUAGCGGUGGAAUGCGCAGAUAUCAGGAGGAACACCGAUGGCGAAGGCAGAUCUCUGGGCCGUAACUGACGCUGAGGAGCGAAAGGGUGGGGAGCAAACAGGCUUAGAUACCCUGGUAGUCCACCCCGUAAACGUUGGGAACUAGUUGUGGGGUCCAUUCCACGGAUUCCGUGACGCAGCUAACGCAUUAAGUUCCCCGCCUGGGGAGUACGGCCGCAAGGCUAAAACUCAAAGGAAUUGACGGGGACCCGCACAAGCGGCGGAGCAUGCGGAUUAAUUCNGAUGCAACGCGAAGAANCCUUACCAAGGCUUGACAUAUACGAGAACGGGCCNAGAAAUGGUCAACUCUUUGGACACUCGUAAACAGGUGGUGCAUGGUUGUCGUCAGCUCGUGUCGUGAGAUGUUGGGUUAAGUCCCGCAACGAGCGCAACCCUCGUUCUAUGUUGCCAGCACGUAAUGGUGGGAACUCAUGGGAUACUGCCGGGGUCAACUCGGAGGAAGGUGGGGAUGACGUCAAAUCAUCAUGCCCCUUAUGUCUUGGGCUUCACGCAUGCUACAAUGGCCGGUACAAAGGGCUGCAAUACCGCGAGGUGGAGCGAAUCCCAAAAAGCCGGUCCCAGUUCGGAUUGAGGUCUGCAACUCGACCUCAUGAAGUCGGAGUCGCUAGUAAUCGCAGAUCAGCAACGCUGCGGUGAAUACGUUCCCGGGUCUUGUACACACCGCCCGUCAAGUCAUGAAAGUCGGU